GCAAAAUCAUUCAUGCUUUCAAAGAGAUAGCAAUCAUUCACAACAAAACUCUAAAGUUCAAAACCUCACGUACAAGCUAAUUCCAAGUUCCAGAUAUCUCAGUUACACAUCCUGCUCAGUAUCAUAAUCACAAUCAUAACAUCAUGCAUCUGUUCACAUAAUUCAUGAACCACCACCUGUAUAUCAACAUCUCAUAUAUCAUCUCAUCAUUAAUCAAUAUAAAAGCAUCAUCAUGCACAACUCAGCACACAACACAACAUUAUCAAACCAUUGCAUCAAAUAUAGUUUUAGACCAAGUACAUCAACACCUAUUCUAAAAACAAAAGUAAAUAAAGUUCAACAAACAAAACAAAGAUAAGAAAGAUCUUGUUCUAUUGCCAAUAACAUUCAUCAGUAAAUGUUAUCCUUAUCCUUGACUGUCAUCUGAAUCCUCAUCCUCCUCUUUGUCGUCUUCCUCUUCCUCAUCUUUUUCGUCAUCACUAUCUUCAUCAUCAUCAUCUUCAUCAUCAUCAUCCAUGGCUGCAGCUUCAACUGCUCCAGAUCCACUAGCUUGUGCCUGAUCCUCUGGCCACCCACACAGGUGUUAAACUCCUCCAUCAUCCACUGUCAUGUAGGAGGUGUAUCAUACAACCCUAUAAUCAUCUCUGUAGUGGCAACCUGCCUUCUGUCCAAUGCCUACAUCCUCGCCUCCCUCAGGGACAUAUACAUGUCCCUCAUCUGAAAGGGCUCAACAUUCCGAGGCUGAUCCUAUGCUGGUAGUGGUCCCCUCCUAUGAACUUUAGGAUGUGGUGGUAGCAUAGGUUGGCCCGCCUCAUCCAGCACGCAAUACUAGGUGUAGUAGGAAGCA
This 847-nucleotide long non-coding RNA is filed under the name Vigna radiata. RNAcentral describes it as "long non-coding RNA (VRAD_LNC012064)". Lineage: Eukaryota; Viridiplantae; Streptophyta; Magnoliopsida; Fabales; Fabaceae. The record is from RNAcentral.